AGAGUGUUCAAAUUCCUUUAUUUCCUUAUAUUCUUUGCAGCAAUGGACUUCCUCAACAAUAAUGAUUUAAAAAUGCUGCUGUUUCCAAUUUUGGGGCCAGAAGUACCUCCUUUCCACAGAGAAAAAAUGCAAGAGGAUUGCUACAGUAUCAAACCUCAGGCAUUUCACAGGGUUCUGGGGUUGUUUCAACUCCCUCUGUAUCACUUUGCUAAUCCCCUGAAUCAAGAGUACCUACUUUGGGAAAAGGAAUCUGCUCUUUUGAGAUGUGUGCACCUUCUAUUACUGAGGUACACUAUGCAUUGCAAUAAUGGAUACAAUGAUUAGGAAUACACUGCAUAACUACAACAUCUAAGUUCCAGAAUCUUUCAUCAACUAGAAAUUAUUACAACGUUACUUAAAAGGAGUGGUAUGUUUUUUAAACUGUUUCACUUUUAAAAUAAUGAAACAAUGUUGUAUAAUCUCUGUACAUGCACAAGCUUUAAGUUUGUUCCUCAUAGACUCAUAGGGCUCUUGCAACCUAGUCUGUUUUUUUGUUUGUUUGUUUUCUUUUUUCCUAAUUGUAUCACUAUUGUAUCACAGAACUAAUGGAUCUUUACACAGAUCUUUUCUCAUUUUGAUGAGAAAAACUUCUUUGCAAAAGUGUUGUUAAGCACUGGAAUACAUUCCACAGGGA
Meleagris gallopavo (turkey) is the source of this 673-nucleotide long non-coding RNA. RefSeq lists it as uncharacterized. The record is from RefSeq and is a predicted model, not a curated record. Lineage: Eukaryota; Metazoa; Chordata; Aves; Galliformes; Phasianidae.